This is a long non-coding RNA of Cajanus cajan (pigeon pea), 217 nucleotides long. RefSeq lists it as uncharacterized. The record is from RefSeq and is a predicted model, not a curated record. NCBI's taxonomy places the organism in Eukaryota, Viridiplantae, Streptophyta, Magnoliopsida, Fabales, Fabaceae.
GAUGAAUCAGAAGCAAUUGAUAAUGACAAGAGUUGCAGACCAGAAAAUAAACUUGACAGAAUGUCCACUGUUGUUGAGGAACCUGGUCAACCUGAAACCAAGGCCAACAUGAGCAUAGUAAAAGAAGAACAUGCAGACAACCAAUCAAGAGAACAUGUGAUAGCAGAAUGCGGUGUGCUUGAAGAUGAAGACCUACAAUCAUUGCCUACUACAAUGU